This 437-nucleotide ribosomal RNA is filed under the name Arthrobacter sp. RNAcentral's name for it is "bacterial SSU rRNA". It matches the Rfam family "Bacterial small subunit ribosomal RNA", at positions 21 to 459 of the family's 1533-position model. The record is from RNAcentral. Lineage: Bacteria; Bacillati; Actinomycetota; Actinomycetes; Micrococcales; Micrococcaceae.
GGCUCAGGAUGAACGCUGGCGGCGUGCUUAACACAUGCAAGUCGAACGAUGAACCUCACUUGUGGGGGGAUUAGUGGCGAACGGGUGAGUAACACGUGAGUAACCUGCCCUUGACUCUGGGAUAAGCCUGGGAAACCGGGUCUAAUACUGGAUACGACCUUCUGGCGCAUGCCAUGUUGGUGGAAAGCUUUUGUGGUUUUGGAUGGACUCGCGGCCUAUCAGCUUGUUGGUGGGGUAAUGGCCUACCAAGGCGACGACGGGUAGCCGGCCUGAGAGGGUGACCGGCCACACUGGGACUGAGACACGGCCCAGACUCCUACGGGAGGCAGCAGUGGGGAAUAUUGCACAAUGGGCGCAAGCCUGAUGCAGCGACGCCGCGUGAGGGAUGAAGGCCUUCGGGUUGUAAACCUCUUUCAGUAGGGAAGAAGCCGGCUUUU